AACGAACGCUGGCGGCAUGCCUAACACAUGCAAGUCGAACGAGACCUUCGGGUCUAGUGGCGCACGGGUGCGUAACGCGUGGGAACCUGCCCUUAGGUUCGGAAUAACUCCCCGAAAGGGGUGCUAAUACCGGAUAAUGUCCUCGGACCAAAGAUUCAUCGCCUUUGGAUGGGCCCGCGUUGGAUUAGCUAGUUGGUAGGGUAAAAGCCUACCAAGGCGACGAUCCAUAGCUGGUCAGAGAGGAUGAUCAGCCACACUGGGACUGAGACACGGCCCAGACUCCUACGGGAGGCAGCAGUGGGGAAUAUUGGAAAAUGGGCGAAAGCCUGAUGCAGCAAUGCCGCGUGAGUGAUGAAGGCCUUAGGGUUGUAAAGCUCUUUUACCCGGGAUGAUAAUGACAGUACCGGGAGAAUAAGCUCCGGCUAACUCCGUG
This 433-nucleotide ribosomal RNA is filed under the name uncultured bacterium. Its description in RNAcentral is "partial 16S ribosomal RNA". It matches the Rfam family "Bacterial small subunit ribosomal RNA", at positions 29 to 507 of the family's 1533-position model. The record is from RNAcentral.